RNAcentral lists this unclassified non-coding RNA (298 nucleotides) under fungal sp. RNAcentral's name for it is "partial internal transcribed spacer region". The stretch from base 1 to 46 matches the Rfam family "Eukaryotic small subunit ribosomal RNA", at positions 1786 to 1831 of the family's 1831-position model. Lineage: Eukaryota; Fungi. The record is from RNAcentral.
AAGUCGUAACAAGGUUUCCGUAGGUGAACCUGCGGAAGGAUCAUUAACACGUAUCCAACGUUAAAUCCCCCCGUGAAUAUUAAGCGUGCUCUUGCAGCCCGCCAUCCAGCAAUCUCCGGUAAAUCACGUCAAACGGUUUGAUUCGGGGACUUGAGAGCGCUUAACGAACGCUGUAGGCACACACGGGCCGGCGUCUGGAUCAGAGAGCGCAAGCUCUUUCGUAACCACCAGUCAGCGUAGGCCCUUCUGUCGUGGUUGGGCAUUAAAACGACUGUUAACAAUGGAUAUCUUGGUUCUC